This 253-nucleotide ribosomal RNA is filed under the name uncultured bacterium. Its description in RNAcentral is "partial 16S ribosomal RNA". It matches the Rfam family "Bacterial small subunit ribosomal RNA", at positions 524 to 776 of the family's 1533-position model. The record is from RNAcentral.
UACGGGGGGGGCAAGCGUUGUUCGGAAUUACUGGGCGUAAAGGGCUCGUAGGCGGCCAACUAAGUCAGACGUGAAAUCCCUCGGCUUAACCGGGGAACUGCGUCUGAUACUGGAUGGCUUGAGUUUGGGAGAGGGAUGCGGAAUUCCAGGUGUAGCGGUGAAAUGCGUAGAUAUCUGGAGGAACACCCGUAGCGAAGGCGGCACUCUGGGCCGAUACUGACACUGAGGAGCGAAAGCGUGGGGAGCGAACAGG